This 579-nucleotide long non-coding RNA is filed under the name Camelus dromedarius (Arabian camel). RNAcentral describes it as "lncRNA (ENSCDRG00005000006.1)". The record is from RNAcentral. Lineage: Eukaryota; Metazoa; Chordata; Mammalia; Artiodactyla; Camelidae.
ACUCCCCACCCCCCUACCCCGCCCCGCGGAAGGAUUGGGAGGGAUCGCGACCUCCCCGCAGACUGUCCUCGCGGCGCCUCCGGCCAGCCGGAGCAUCCUCGGCGGAGGGGUCCCCGCCACCGCGGCGACCCGGAACGCCGAUUCCGCCGCAGCCUCCCUCCCCGGAGGGCCGGGCCAGAGCCGAGCCGGGCCAGGCCGGGGCGCCAGCCGUAGCCACAUAUGCCCGCCCCGCAGCGACGCCCGCCGGAGGCCCGGCCCGAGAGUCCCGAGGGAAGCUUGUCCCCGCUCGCUCGCCGUAGGCGCGACACGCAGGAGCGAAACCUGGAGGUUCAAGUUGCAAGUGGGCGGGGACGCGGAUAUUGUGGAGUGGGCGUUCCCAACCCUUUCUCGGACUACGAGGCCGCCGCCGGCCGGCGAGCAGAAACCAUGUGCUCGCCCCGCGCUCUCCCGCGACGAGCUGGCCCUCCCUUUCCACAGCGCCGGGUAGAUCAUUCAUCAUUUCACAAAGCGGAUCCAGACCAAAAUGAAGGAUCUUCUACAGCAGAUGGAAGAAGGGCGGAAGACAGCUGGUCCCCAUGA